UGGGUUAUGACUCAGUGGUAGAGCGCUUGCCUAGCAUGCAUGAGGCACUGGGUUCAAUCCCCAGCACCACAU
This 72-nucleotide transfer RNA is filed under the name Marmota monax (woodchuck). It matches the Rfam family "tRNA". From Rfam's summary of the family: Transfer RNA (tRNA) molecules are approximately 80 nucleotides in length. Their secondary structure includes four short double-helical elements and three loops (D, anti-codon, and T loops). The record is from Rfam by way of RNAcentral. Lineage: Eukaryota; Metazoa; Chordata; Mammalia; Rodentia; Sciuridae.